GGUCUGGGCUACCGGCGCGGCGUAGUGGAUGCAGCAUCCUAGUUGAGGACGCCCCGCUGGAGCCAGUGACCUUCAGGGACGUGGCCAUCUACUUCUCAAGGGAGGAGUGGGCGUGUCUGGAACCCAGCCAGAGGACCCUCUACCGGGACGUGAUGCUGGACAACUUCAGCAGUGUGGCUGCUCUGGGUGAGCGCGGGCUGAGCGCUGCGUGAGCACAGGGUGAGUGCUGGGAGAGCUCUGCCGCUGCCUCUGGGCCCGGCUCGUCCAGGACAGUAGUGGGGCCUCCCAGCCGAGGGGGCUCAGGAGCUAGAAGUUAUUGGCUUAUGUAGACAGAGGGGCCCACUCAGCGUUUCUCUCGGGCUCCCUGGAGGCAGCCUCAUCUUCCUUCCUCUGACCUUGCCAGGGCCUUCCGUGGGCCUUGGUGUCCAGGCGCCUCCCUUCCUGUCAUCUCUGCUUCGGGGUGGCUUCUCCAGGGCCUCCCGAGGGCUGGCCUGGCGUCUUAGGCUGAUGCACAACUGCUCUGAGCCUCGAGCCUCACUUUGUCCUCAGUACAAGUAAAACGGAACCUUUUCUCUCCUUUGAGAAGGAUUUUGCAGCCCCAGACCGGACCUCGUCUCUCGCCUGGAACAGUGGGAGGAGCCGUGGGUUGAAGACCGGGAGAGACCUGAGCUCCAGGCAGUGCGGAGGGGACCCCGGCCAGGUGAGUGCUGGGCUGUCUGGGCUCAGCUGGCCCCGUCCCUGUGGCCCACAGCUCCUGGGUAGUGCUCAGCACGCUGCAGUGACCAAGGGUGUGUCCUUCCCACGGGAGAGCGGACACACAGCUGCUCUCUAAAUUAGACAGGCAUUAGAGACGUAGGGGCAGCCACGCUCCUGCCCUGAUGGACACUGGCCGGGGGCGGGGCUCGCAAGGCAUGGUGGUGCAGGAUGACAUACAGCUGCAGCUCGGGAGGGGCCUGAGGCUGGAGUGACACUUGAAGCCUGCACCUAGCCACCCAGGUGCUGUCCGGCGGAGGCCAUUGGUGUGGGUGUCUGACCUCCCUGUGAUGGCCACGUGGGGUCCCAGGCCUGGUACUGACUGCACGUGAGGGUCUCCAGGUAUAUGGCUCUGGGUAGGAGUUUGCUCCACGUCCUUGUUUGCAAAACUGGGACAGUGGCCGUGCUUCCCUCCAUUAGGUGAGGGGUGCUCUUGGGGCAGUGGUCAGAGGGGUUUUGCUUUUUACUUACAUUUUCAGAGUGGGAUGGAGCAGCUAUGUGAACACGAGCCCUGGGAGGUCCCCGGGUAUGUGGAGUCCCCGACUGUGGAGUGUCAGGUCCCUAGGGGCAAGGAAGUCUGCAGACCCCAAGAGACACUGUGAUCAUCCAGCUUGGGCUCACAAGAAAACCCACGUGCGGCGAGAAAGAGCCAGGGAAGGAAGCAGCUUUAGGAAGGGCUUCAGGCUGGACACGGAUGACGGGCAGCUUCCCAGAGCUGCUCCAGAAAGGACAGACGCCAAGCCCACGGCUUUCCCGUGUCAGGUGCUCACGCGGUGUUGUGGGCGGCGGCCGGGCCGCAGAGAGCGCCGGAAGCAGCGCGCAGUAGAGCUGUCGUUCAUCUGCGGCACGUGCGGGAAGGCGCUCAGCUGCCACAGCCGGCUGCUCGCUCACCAGACGGUGCACACGGGAACCAAGGCCUUCGAGUGCCCCGAGUGCGGCCAGACCUUCCGGUGGGCUUCAAACCUGCAGCGCCACCAGAAGAACCACACGCGCGAGAAGCCCUUCUGCUGCGAGGCCUGCGGGCAGGCGUUCAGCCUGAAGGACCGCCUGGCUCAGCACCGCAAGGUCCACACCGAGCACAGGCCCUACUCGUGUGGCGACUGUGGGAAAGCCUUCAAGCAGAAGUCCAACCUUCUCAGACACCAGCUGGUGCACACCGGGGAGCGGCCGUUCUACUGCGCGGACUGCGGCAAAGCCUUCCGGACCAAGGAGAACCUCAGCCACCACCAGAGGGUCCACAGCGGGGAGAAGCCCUACACCUGUGCCGAGUGCGGCAAGUCCUUCCGCUGGCCCAAGGGCUUCAGCAUCCACCGGAGGCUGCACCUGACGAAGAGAUUCUACCAGUGCGGCCACUGUGGGAAAGGCUUCCGUCACCUGGGGUUCUUCACGCGGCAUCAGAGGACUCACAGGCACGGGGAGGUGUAGGGGCGCCCGAAGCGUGGGGUGCUGCGCCUCUGCGGGAGUACUGGGCCCUGAGGGAGAGCUGCAGUGAGAAGUUGCUCUUCAGCCUGGAAAAUCAACCUGAAUUCAGAGAAGCCUUCUUAGUCCUCAGAGCUCCCCAGUCCCCUGAGAAGUUUACUGGGAAAACUGCUAGGUGGGAGAAGCAGAUCCAUGGGUACGCCGGAGAUGGCGGGGGCUCUGGAGAUGGCGGGGGCUGCGCCCCGGCGCCAGGCACCCUGGGGAUGUGCUGAGAGUGUGCGCGACCCCGGAGCCACAUGCCAGGCCGGGCUCAGAGGCGGAGAGGCCUGCCCGGUGCCCACAGCCGUCUGGCUCAGGGACUCCACCCUGGCCCCGAGUCGCCGUCUGCUGGGCCUUUCCUUCCUGGCUCUGCACCCCAUGCUGGCUGCCCGGUCUGGCUUCCCUUCUUGUCUCUGUCUUGGGCGAGGCAGCUGUGAGCAUUGCACAGAGGCAAAGACCCUCCUGCAGCCUCUGCGCUGGGCCGUAGAAACAAGAGCCUUUGUAAUACUGAACCUCAUUCAAGGAUUAGGAGUGGUGGUUAGGUCAGGGCCACCCCCAAUGCUGCAGGAACGGCCUCCACCCAGCUCUGUUGGUCAGAGCCUGGGUCAUGCACCUGGAAUUGGGAGAUCAAGUUGGGUCUCAGGGCAGUGAGGUGGCCAUAUCCACCACAGCACAUUUCGUGGGGAAGAGAUGACCUCUUUGUUUUAAACUUAAGGUGUCUGCUUAUCCAGCCAGAAAUAAAAAUCUGCCAGUGGUGUUCCCAAGAGAAGACCCCCGUGGGAAUGGAUCGGGACACUGCCGUGUUUCAGGUUAGCCAAUU
RNAcentral lists this small RNA (3031 nucleotides) under Pan troglodytes (chimpanzee). Its description in RNAcentral is "retained intron". The record is from RNAcentral. Lineage: Eukaryota; Metazoa; Chordata; Mammalia; Primates; Hominidae.